ACGAACGCUGGCGGCGUGCUUAACACAUGCCAGUCGAACGGAAAGGCCCUGCUUUUGUGGGGUGCUCGAGUGGCGAACGGGUGAGUAACACGUGAGUAACCUGCCCUUGACUUUGGGAUAACUUCAGGAAACUGGGGCUAAUACCGGAUAGGAGCUCCUGCUGCAUGGUGGGGGUUGGAAAGUUUCGGCGGUUGGGGAUGGACUCGCGGCUUAUCAGCUUGUUGGUGGGGUAGUGGCUUACCAAGGCUUUGACGGGUAGCCGGCCAGAGAGGGUGACCGGUGAGAGGGGGAGGGGGGGAGAGCACAGAAGACUACGGGAGGCAGGAGGGGAGAAGAGGGGGGGAGGGGAGCAAGCCUGAUGGAGAAAAGCCGCGGGCGGGAUGACGGGAUGCGGGUUGUAAACCGAGGGAAGCAGGGACGAAGCGUUGUGUGACGGUACCGGCAGAAGAAGCAACGGCUAACUAAGUG
Molecule: ribosomal RNA, 468 nt
Filed under: uncultured bacterium
Lineage: Bacteria
Description: partial 16S ribosomal RNA
Rfam family: Bacterial small subunit ribosomal RNA
Source: RNAcentral